CCUACGGGAGGCAGCAGUAAGGAAUAUUGGACAAUGCUCGCAAGAGUGAUCCAGCCAUGCCGCGUGCAGGAAGAAUGCCCUAUGGGUAGUAAACUGCUUUUGAACUAGAGAAAACCCCAGUACGUGUACUGGGCUGAUAGUAUAGUUAGAAUAAGCAUCGGCUAACUUCGUGCCAGCAGCCGCGGUAAGACGAAGGAUGCAAGCGUUAUCCGGAUUCAUUGGGUUUAAAGGGAGCGUAGGUGGACUGAUAAGUCAGUGGUGAAAUCUCCGAGCUUAACUCGGAAAUUGCCAUUGAUACUGUUGGUCUUGAGUACAGUUGCUGUGGGCGGAAUAUGACAUGUAGUGGUGAAAUACAUAGAGAUGUCAUAGAACACCGAUUGCGAAGGCAGCUCACAAAGCUGUAACUGACACUGAGGCUCGAAAGUGGCGGGAGUACAACAGAGUAGUAUACCUACGUAGUACGCACCGUAACGAAUAGUAUUACUCGUCUGCGUAGGGGUACGGAACCGUUACGUUAGGUCGUUAGUACGAAACGACGA
RNAcentral lists this ribosomal RNA (539 nucleotides) under uncultured bacterium. RNAcentral describes it as "bacterial SSU rRNA". It matches the Rfam family "Bacterial small subunit ribosomal RNA", at positions 338 to 868 of the family's 1533-position model. The record is from RNAcentral.